Molecule: non-coding RNA, 357 nt
Organism: Sphaeramia orbicularis (orbiculate cardinalfish)
Lineage: Eukaryota; Metazoa; Chordata; Actinopteri; Kurtiformes; Apogonidae
Source: the annotation of a RefSeq genome assembly
UUGAACAUGAUGGACUGUAGGACAGGACUGCUGCUCUUAACUAUCUGCUGGGCAGGUGUUUGGGGUCAGACUCUGAUAGAAUCUGACCCGGCAGUAAAAAGACCUGGAGAAUCCCACAGACUGACCUGUACAACAUCUGGAUUCUCCUUCAGUGGCUCUCACAUGGCCUGGUUCAGACAGGCUCCUGGAAAAGGACUGGAGUGGAUCGCUUGGAUUCAGAGCGAUAGUAGUAACAUCUACUAUUCCCAGUCAGUCCAAGGUCGUUUCACCAUCUCCAGAGACAACGGCAGAAACCAGCUGUAUCUGCAGAUGAACAGUCUGAAAACUGAAGAUUCUGCUGUUUAUUAUUGUGCACGA